Molecule: ribosomal RNA, 253 nt
Filed under: uncultured bacterium
Lineage: Bacteria
Description: partial 16S ribosomal RNA
Rfam family: Bacterial small subunit ribosomal RNA
Source: RNAcentral
UACGUAGGGGGCAAGCGUUGUCCGGAUUUAUUGGGCGUAAAGAGCGUGUAGGCGGCCAUGUAGGUCCGUUGUGAAAACUCGAGGCUCAACCUCGAGACGUCGACCGAAACCAUCUGGCUAGAGUCCGGAAGAGGAGAGUGGAAUUCCUGGUGUAGCGGUGAAAUGCGCAGAUAUCAGGAAGAACACCCGUGGCGAAGGCGGCUCUCUAGUACGGUACUGACGCUGAGACGCGAAAGCGUGGGGAGCGAACAGG